CAUGCAAGUUGAGCGGCAAGGUCCUUCGGGACCCUAGAGCGGCGCACGGGUGCGUAACGCGUAUGCAACCUACCCUUUACUGGGGGAUAGCCCGGGGAAACCCGGAUUAAUACCCCAUGGCAUUACCAGAUGGCAUCUGACGGUAAUUAAAGAUUUAUUGGUAAAGGAUGGGCAUGCGUCUGAUUAGCUAGUCGGUAGUGUAACGGACUACCAAGGCGACGAUCAGUAGGGGGUCUGAGAGGAUGAUCCCCCACACUGGCACUGAGAUACGGGCCAGACUCCUACGGGAGGCAGCAGUAGGGAAUAUUGGUCAAUGGGCGAGAGCCUGAACCAGCCACGCCGCGUGAAGGAUGAAGGCCUUCUGGGUUGUAAACUUCUUUUAUGGGGGAAGAAAAAGUCUGUGCGCAGACAACUGACGGUACCCUAUGAAUAAGCACCGGCUAACUCCGUGCCAGCAGCCGCGGUAAUACGGAGGGUGCAAGCGUUGUCCGGAUUUAUUGGGUUUAAAGGGUGCGUAGGCGGGUUAAUAAGUCAGUGGUGAAAGCCGGCAGCUCAACUGUCGAAUUGCCAUUGAUACUGUUAGCCUUGAGUAUAGUUGAGGUAGGCGGAAUGAGUCGUGUAGCGGUGAAAUGCAUAGAUAUGACUCAGAACACCGAUAGCGUAGGCAGCUUACUAAGCUAUAACUGACGCUGAGGCACGAAAGCAUGGGGAGCGAACAGGAUUAGAUACCCUGGUAGUCCAUGCCGUAAACGAUGUACACUCGCUGUUGGCGAUAUUACAGUCAGCGGCCAAGCGAAAGCGUUAAGUGUACCACCUGGGGGAGUACGCCGGCAACGGUGAAACUCAAAGGAAUUGACGGGGGUCCGCAC
Molecule: ribosomal RNA, 869 nt
Filed under: uncultured bacterium
Lineage: Bacteria
Description: bacterial SSU rRNA
Rfam family: Bacterial small subunit ribosomal RNA
Source: RNAcentral